RNAcentral lists this ribosomal RNA (483 nucleotides) under uncultured bacterium. Its description in RNAcentral is "partial 16S ribosomal RNA". It matches the Rfam family "Bacterial small subunit ribosomal RNA", at positions 28 to 507 of the family's 1533-position model. The record is from RNAcentral.
GACGAACGCUGGCGGCGUGCUUAACACAUGCAAGUCGAACGCUGAAGCUCAGCUUUUGUUGGGUGGAUGAGUGGCGAACGGGUAAGUAACACGUGAGUAACCUGCCCCCUUCUUUGGGAUAACGCCCGGAAACGGGUGCUAAUACUGGAUAUUCACUGGUCUUCGCAUGGGGGUUGGUGGAAAGGGUUUUUCUGGUGGGGGAUGGGCUCGCGGCCUAUCAGCUUGUUGGUGGGGUGAUGGCCUACCAAGGCUUUGACGGGUAGCCGGCCUGAGAGGGUGACCGGUCACAUUGGGACUGAGAUACGGCCCAGACUCCUACGGGAGGCAGCAGUGGGGAAUAUUGCACAAUGGGCGCAAGCCUGAUGCAGCGACGCCGCGUGAGGGAUGGAGGCCUUCGGGUUGUGAACCUCUUUCGCUCAUGGUCAAGCCGCAACAAUGGUUGUGGUGAGGGUAGUGGGUAAAGAAGCGCCGGCUAACUACGUG